This 606-nucleotide ribosomal RNA is filed under the name Stenotrophomonas acidaminiphila. RNAcentral describes it as "bacterial SSU rRNA". It matches the Rfam family "Bacterial small subunit ribosomal RNA", at positions 67 to 663 of the family's 1533-position model. The record is from RNAcentral. Lineage: Bacteria; Pseudomonadati; Pseudomonadota; Gammaproteobacteria; Lysobacterales; Lysobacteraceae.
CAGCACAGUAAGAGCUUGCUCUUACGGGUGGCGAGUGGCGGACGGGUGAGGAAUGCAUCGGAAUCUACUCUGUCGUGGGGGAUAACGUAGGGAAACUUACGCUAAUACCGCAUACGACCUACGGGUGAAAGCAGGGGAUCUUCGGACCUUGCGCGAUUGAAUGAGCCGAUGCCCGAUUAGCUAGUUGGCGGGGUAAGAGCCCACCAAGGCGACGAUCGGUAGCUGGUCUGAGAGGAUGAUCAGCCACACUGGAACUGAGACACGGUCCAGACUCCUACGGGAGGCAGCAGUGGGGAAUAUUGGACAAUGGGCGCAAGCCUGAUCCAGCCAUACCGCGUGGGUGAAGAAGGCCUUCGGGUUGUAAAGCCCUUUUGUUGGGAAAGAAAAGCAGCCGGUUAAUACCCGGUUGUUCUGACGGUACCCAAAGAAUAAGCACCGGCUAACUUCGUGCCAGCAGCCGCGGUAAUACGAAGGGUGCAAGCGUUACUCGGAAUUACUGGGCGUAAAGCGUGCGUAGGUGGUUGUUUAAGUCUGUCGUGAAAGCCCUGGGCUCAACCUGGGAAUGGCGAUGGAAACUGGGCGACUAGAGUGUGGCAGAGGGUAGUG